This 425-nucleotide ribosomal RNA is filed under the name bacterium enrichment culture clone ALO1_GLFRUDD03HIZ9X. Its description in RNAcentral is "bacterial SSU rRNA". It matches the Rfam family "Bacterial small subunit ribosomal RNA", at positions 9 to 438 of the family's 1533-position model. The record is from RNAcentral.
GAGUUUGAUCGUGGCUCAGAUUGAACGCUGGCGGCAGGCCUAACACAUGCAAGUCGAGCGGAUGACGGGAGCUUGCUCCUUGAUUCAGCGGCGGACGGGUGAGUAAUGCCUAGGAAUCUGCCUGGUAGUGGGGGACAACGUUUCGAAAGGAACGCUAAUACCGCAUACGUCCUACGGGAGAAAGCAGGGGACCUUCGGGCCUUGCGCUAUCAGAUGAGCCUAGUCGGAUUAGCUAGUUGGUGGGGUAAUGGCUCACCAAGGCGACGAUCCGUAACUGGUCUGAGAGGAUGAUCAGUCACACUGGAACUGAGACACGGUCCAGACUCCUACGGGAGGCAGCAGUGGGGAAUAUUGGACAAUGGGCGAAAGCCUGAUCCAGCCAUGCCGCGUGUGUGAAGAAGGUCUUGGAUUGUAAAGCACUUUAA